CCUACGGGUGGCUGCAGUGAGGAAUAUUGGUCAAUGGGCGUAAGUCUGAACCAGCCAAGUCGCGUGAGGGAUGAAGGUUCUUUGGAUCGUAAACCUCUUUUUUAAGGGAAUAAAGUGCGGGACGUGUCCCGUUUUGUCUGUACCUUAUGACUAAGGAUCGGCUAACUCCGUGCCAGCAGCCGCGGUAAUACGGAGGAUCCGAGCGUUAUCCGGAUUUAUUGGGGUUAAAGGGUGCGUAGGCGGCCUUUUCAGUCAGCGGUGAAAGUCUGUGGCUCAACCAUAGAAUUGCCGUUGAAACUGGGAGGCUGGAGUAUGGUUGAGGCAGGCGGAAUUCGUGGUGUAGCGGUGAAAUGCUUAGAUAGCACGCGGAACCUCGAUUGCGAAGGCAACCUGCCAAGCCAUGACUGACGCUGAUGCACGAAAGCGUGGGGAUCAAACAGGAUUAGAUACCCUUGUAGUC
RNAcentral lists this ribosomal RNA (460 nucleotides) under uncultured bacterium. Its description in RNAcentral is "partial 16S ribosomal RNA". It matches the Rfam family "Bacterial small subunit ribosomal RNA", at positions 338 to 795 of the family's 1533-position model. The record is from RNAcentral.